This 412-nucleotide long non-coding RNA is filed under the name Homo sapiens (human). RNAcentral describes it as "HSALNT0386831". The record is from RNAcentral. Lineage: Eukaryota; Metazoa; Chordata; Mammalia; Primates; Hominidae.
UUGUGAACCUUUACACCCAGGUUUGGAGACAGAAAGGAGCACCGCCAAGUGAGGCAGAGCAGUCUCAGAAACAUAGGAAAAUCUUCUAGCAGAGAUGGAAUAAUAGAGACCAGAUGUACCCUCCCAGCUGAAACAACAAAAAAAUACAGAACAAAAUAUAUAAAAGAAUGGUUUUCAAGGUACUAGACAUCACACAGUGAAGGACAGUGAUCCCAGAGAGAUGAGAAACAAACAAGGGUGGGAAGAGAGAUCAGCAACGUUAACUGGGUGUCAAGAAAACAUACCGAGAUUGAAGCCAUCCACUUCUGCAGGAACACCGAAAAGAAAGCUUACAAUCUGAAGGUGUCCGUUCCUACACUGGUCAGACCACUGUCCUUGGGGCAGCUGGGGUCUUUGGGACCCUCCACCGGGC